GGGGAGGUAUUUCAAAGGAAGGGAGCACAAAGAGAAAGCAAGCAUGUCUCCACAGGUAUUACACAAGAAAAACCGUGGGAUGAUGAGGCAUUGAGAUAAGAAAGCUAUACUGCAUCUAAAUUGCUUCCUAAUAGUGCCUCUCUCACCCAUGCCAUCUGAGUGAUUCAGAAGAUGAAAGCAGACAGACAAGACAGUCUCAGAGAUCCGGGAGUAUUUGAUCACUCAGUUUGGGAGCAGAUUUGUGGCCACAGUUUCAUCUUCUGGGACAGCCGGCUGGCCAGGAUUUCCAGCAUCGACACACAGUUGAGCUGUUGUGAGUUUGCCCGUGUGGAACAGCUCAGUUGUCGAGGGAUGUUGUGGUGCCACUUGAUGCCUCUCCUAGAGGCAUAGUUCCAGCAACACUGUUCUCCUGAUGUGUUGAUCCUCCAUUUUGGGGCAAACAAUCUGGUGCUGCUUAAGGGCAAGGCACUGACUGAGCAAGCAGAAGCUGAUCUGCACAGUUUAGUGGCACAUUGGCCUGGUUUUUUGAUAAUUCGGUUCAAUUUGAUCCCCCGCCAUUUUUUGUGUGGUGGUGGGGAUCCCCCAGCUUGGGCCUGGGCCCAUAAGAAGUUUAACUGGGAGUUGUGUUGCAUGGUCCAUGUGCUUGGUGGGGGUUGUUAUUUUGCAUGAGGGGAUAGUUUAUGGGGUGACUCAGUUAUACCGACAAGAUGGUGUUCACUUGUCAGACGUCGGCAAUGAUGUUUUCUUGGGGAAGUUGUGUCAGGGCCUAUACAAAGCUGUUUUUGACAGGUAGGGCAAGGGGGGGUAAAACAGAGGUUUAACCACCCCCUCUUGGUGGCAGGUGAGUGCAGUCAUGGGGAGGUUAGGAUACUUUGGUGUUCAACUGCAGGAACCCUUGGGGUGUGAAGGGUGGAGCAUGGAACAGUCCCUCAGGAUUUCGUGGCCCGGGCUGGCUGAGAAUGCACUGUUCUUGUGACCAAUUAAUAACGGGGUCACCUGUAAUUAGGAGCAUUGCUCCGGAUAGGCUAGUAUAAGUCCCAAAAAGAAAACAGAUCUCGAACACCAGCUGGAUUUAGUUCAUCAGUUUAUUUUUACACCCUAAGUAUUAGCUAAACUAUAGUCCAUUCACUCUCAUACACAUGCAUACUUACCAGCCCCAUUUAAAGGUGAUCAGUCUUUAAAACUGGGUGUUGGGAGAAGCUGGGGCCCCACGAUCUUUGGUGCUUCUCAGAGAAAACCUCUGUUGAUGCCUGACUUAAAAAGGGUUGCCUGCCUUUGAAGUUAUUUGCUGUUCUAUAUUGGCAUUCGUCCUUAUCUCUGGACUGAUCAUGGUCCUUGUUUGAGCAACUCCUUUCCUGCUGCCUUCAGCAUUUUAUUCAGUUUUCCCUGGUCAAACUGGGGUUAUCUGUAUCUUCUUCCCAAAAUUUAUCCUGUCUUCGGGGCUGGUAUGUCUUUUGCUCACUCAUGCAUUCUUUCAUGUACACACACACACACACACACACACACACACACACACACACACUUCCUUUUAUCUUUUGUUUUAGACAGAAGUAAAUCAUGCUAACAACCUUUUAAAUCAUGCUAACAACCCAUUCCCCUUAUCAACAUCAAUACUUCAUUCAGUUAUACACGUAGGCUAUGAAACUACAACAAUCACUUUAAUCAAAUAAUUAUACUAGCUAUAUUAUAUGUCACAUUUAGAUGGUUGCUUGGCUUACCCACUCAGAGCUUUUUGGCUUGAGGGGGGCAUGACAUGGGCUGCCACCUCCUUGGCACAGGAAACUGUGUGGCAUGCAGUUGGCUACCCAGCAGCUGGUGGCCUGAUCCUAGCCCGGAUGCUUCGCCCAAUCAGCUUUGGGGACUGACUGCUCUCAUUAGGAGGCUGGAGGCCCCUGUGAGCGGGUGGAGUUGCCCGCACUAAAUGUUUAUUACCUGAUGCUUCUCCCCCAAAUUUUGUAGUAAUAAAUGUAUGGCCCUAGUUUUACCCAUAUACAUGUGUCCUGUCUUCUUUGGGGUCCAGGGGCAAUUUGCUUUGGAGAAAUUUCAGUUCCAAUCCUACAUAUCUUCUCUUCCCCCAUGAAUCGACUCCCCUCUUUCUUUGCUAUCAACUGUUGCAUACAUCUUCUUUUUCCUGGCUCUUUAUUCUCUCAGUGGCCCAAAUGUUCUGAAUUUUGUUAAAACUUGGCAGCCUGAAUGGCUCUACAAUUAAAAAAAAAAAAAAACAUGUAUGCAAGUGUCAAUGAAAACAAUAGAUCAUAUUAUUUAUUUAGAGUGCAGAAUUUGAAUUACUGUUACAGGAAUAUUAGCAUAUCUAAACCUAGCUUUAUUCAUAGGUUGAAUGUAUAAGAACGCUGGAUUAUAUUCAUGCCAUGUUUUCUGACCUGCAAACCUAUUGGUUUAGGUAGUUAGUAUUUUUUAACUGUGUUAAAUGACAGCAAAUUUUGCUUGGCUAUAUCAAACUUAGUAUACGUCCAAGAUCUGAUCAUUUUGCCUCAUUCAGGUGAAACUUUUUAUACUGCCUGCUGGCAAUAUGGUUGAAAAUGUAAUUUUAGUGUUAAAGAAAUGUUUCCAGAUGGUCUACAUAUUUUAUCCCACCCCCACCAACCCUUCACAAGCAGAUGGUUGGGAAAACAUCUAGCCAGAGGUGGCAGUUUCUAAAUUACAGGAGCUGUGAAGGUGCCAGCAAGUGAUUCAUAUUAUCAGACUAACAGCUCUCCUUUUAGGGAAUUUGUACUUUGAACCUUUUUCAGGAUGUCACACAUCCCUAAGUUGCUAUUUCUCUGACCUCAUUAAGGCUAGGUAUUUUGGAAUACUUGACAUGGGAUUCAGACCGUUAAGAAAGACAGAAGAUUAGUUAGCUACCUAUUGAAACAAGCCAUUGCAUAGGUUUCCCAUUACAAAAAGCCAUGAAGGCUUCCUAAAGGUCAAAUUGUGAGUUUUACAUAUUUAUGUCUACUAAUAUGAUCACCCCGCAAUGCAUUGUACAACGGCUGCAAUGUGGAUCAAUUUGGGCAACUGGUUUUUGUUCUUCCUUCUAAAAUUAAUCUUCCAGUCAGCAAGUUGUAAGAUCUGCACUGAACUAGAUUAUAUAAUGAAAUCUAUCUCAUAAUAAUAAAUACUUGAGCUUUCAGCAAUCAACUUUUUCAUGAUUGCUAAUUUACCCGUAUUUGAAUCAUAUUUGCUGAGAUCAAUGGACAGCAUGUAUUCUGUCAUCUCUAAUCUAACAGUUCACAGGAACGGAAUAGAAGACAUGCUGUAUUUUCCCUAAUAACAGUAAUUGUUGACUAGUCAUUGGGCUAAUAUAAAUUCUUAAAGAGCCAGCGCUCAGAGUUGGAUUUUGUUCAGAAAUCUACACCAAUGUCAGAUCUAGGUUGGGUGUCCACACCUGAUUCUAGACUUAGAUGAUCUCCAACUCAAGGUCCUUGAGGUCAGCGGCUUCAGUUGGAAGCUGAACCCUGGGGAAAAAGGAAUCCAAAAGUACUGCUCAGCUGAAAGGAAAACUCUUACUAUUUGGCCAGGACCUGCCAGUCCAGACACUUCACAUUGCCUUGUCAGUUGUAUAUUCCUAAAUGAGCUCUGAGGCCUGAGCACUUUAGCAAUAAAUGGUAGUAUAUGGGCCAGGUUCCAUCCCAAGAUUCAGGUUCCCUUCCUGUACCCCAGUCUCUGAGAGUCCGAAUAACAUCUGGAUAACAGUGGUGCUGUUUUGUGAGAGAAAGAGCCAGUAACUAGGGCUGAUUGUUGAACAAUUGGAUCCAAUUCAAUACAGCCCCUAUCAGCAGCAUUUUGCAUUGUAUUGUUUCAAUGUAAAAUCUCUAAUAUCGACACUGUCUGAUACAAUAUUCUCCAUGUCGUAUUGGACUCUACUGAAUUCUGUAACACAUCUAUACUGUGUUAUGGUUUUUUGGUUUUUUUUUAAACUUUUAAAAAACUUGCUCUUUAAUAUUGAAAUUUAAUAUUUGUAUUGUUUUAAUUAUGUUAUGUAUUUGUCCUGUUUUAAAUAUAUUGUAAAACUCCUUGAAAUUAUUUUAAUGAGAGGUGGUAUCCAAUUCUGACAACAAAUAAACUUCAUCCGAUGAUUGAA
Molecule: long non-coding RNA, 4081 nt
Organism: Hemicordylus capensis (graceful crag lizard)
Lineage: Eukaryota; Metazoa; Chordata; Lepidosauria; Squamata; Cordylidae
Exons: 3
Source: RefSeq, a predicted model, not a curated record